RNAcentral lists this ribosomal RNA (432 nucleotides) under uncultured bacterium. RNAcentral's name for it is "partial 16S ribosomal RNA". It matches the Rfam family "Bacterial small subunit ribosomal RNA", at positions 29 to 507 of the family's 1533-position model. The record is from RNAcentral.
AACGAACGCUGGCAGCAUGCCUAACACAUGCAAGUCGAACGAAACCUUCGGGUCUAUUGGCGCACGGGUUCGUAACGCGUGGGAACCUUCCCUUAUGUUCGGAAUAACUCCCCGAAAGGGGUGCUAAUACCGGAUAAUGUCUUCUGACCAAAGAUUUAUCGCCUUGGGAUGGUCCCACGUUGGAUUAGCUAGUUGGUAGGGUAAAAGCCCACAAAGGCGAGAAUCCAUAACUGGUAUGGGGGGAUGCUCAGCCACACUGGGACGGACACCCGUCCCGAACCCUUCGGGAAGGCAGAAGGGGGGAUAAUGGAACACCGGGCGAAGGAUGAAGCAGGUAGGACCGGGUAAGUCUGGAAGUAUUUAGGUUCGAAAGGCUAUUUAACCGGGCAUGUAAUGACAGUACCGGGAGAAAAAGCCCCGGCUAACUACGUG